AUCCAGUUGACCAGUCCCAAAUAGGACGAGACAUGAGUCUUGGAU
Molecule: non-coding RNA, 45 nt
Filed under: Schistosoma mansoni
Lineage: Eukaryota; Metazoa; Platyhelminthes; Trematoda; Strigeidida; Schistosomatidae
Source: RNAcentral